AAAAAAUAAUAAUAAUAAUAAUAAAAUAAUAAUAAAUAAAAAAAAAAGGCAGCAUUACUGUUUUUCCACAUGAAUCAGUUUCUUGGCCACAGUAAGUGUCCUGCAAUGUAUUAUCAGUUUUAUCAAAAGGAGACCUUAAACCUUUCAUUUAAAACCUGAAUGUUUAGUAUCAAGCCAACAAACUUAUAAUGCCAAAACCCAAGCAAGUCUGGGUUGGACUGACCUGAAGCAAAAUUCUGAGCUUCACAUUUCCCAGAGGGAAUGUUUUGUGUUUAUUAUUAUUUUUAUUAACUUAUUUUAGUAACAUUGAAAUUUAUUUAUGAAAAAAUGAACAGUACACUGACAAAAAUGGCUCAUGUGGUCUCAUGUACACCAUGUGUGAAGUGCCCAGGCACUAGAUUUAGACUACUAGACUGGUUAUUUCCCUCUGGACAUUACGUUGAGGCUACCAUCUUAUGA
This 459-nucleotide long non-coding RNA is filed under the name Anas platyrhynchos platyrhynchos (common mallard). Its description in RNAcentral is "lncRNA (ENSAPLG00000029059.1)". The record is from RNAcentral. Lineage: Eukaryota; Metazoa; Chordata; Aves; Anseriformes; Anatidae.